CGCGAACGCUGGCGGCAUGGUUAAAACAUGCAAGUCGAGCGCGAAAGCCCUUCGGGGCAAGUAGAGCGGCGAAAGGGCGAGUAAUGCGUUCCUACGUACCCCCAGGUCAGGGAUAGUCCAGGGAAACUUGGAGUAAUACCUGAUGUGGUGGCCAUGCAAAUGGUCAUCAAAGACUUCGGUCGCCAGGGGAGCGGGGAACGUCCUAUCAGGUAGUUGGUGAGGUAACGGCUCACCAAGCCGGAGACGGGUAGCGGGUGUGAGAGCAUGACCCGCCGCAUCGGGACUGAGACACUGCCCGGACUCCUACGGGAGGCUGCAGUAACGAAUCUUCCGCAAUGCGCGAAAGCGUGACGGAGCAAUGCCGCGUGCAGGAUGAAGCUUCUCGGAGUGUAAACUGCUGUCAGGGUUUAGCAACAAAAUGAGCAGACCCAAAGGAAGGGCCGGCUAACUUCGUGCCAGCAGCCGCGGUAAUACGAAGGGCCCGAGCGUUGCGCGGAAUCAUUGGGCUUAAAGCGUACGUAGGCGGACAUGCAGGCGUUUUGUGAAAUCCCUCGGCUCAACCGAGGAAUUGCUUGACGAACCGCAUGUC
This 589-nucleotide ribosomal RNA is filed under the name uncultured bacterium. RNAcentral describes it as "bacterial SSU rRNA". It matches the Rfam family "Bacterial small subunit ribosomal RNA", at positions 28 to 641 of the family's 1533-position model. The record is from RNAcentral.